UGACUAGAUCCCAAGAGCCAAGGCAACUUUUCCAGCUCUGUCAGUGUGUGCAGAGAAAAUGAGACAGGCUUCCCUUCCAGAAUGCAUGAACCAUCCCUGAACUUUGAAGAGGGGAAGUCCCAUGGGGAAUUCUAACCAAGGAACAAUCCUGCCUUUGUGAAGAGCAAUCAUCCAACUGCUGGGGUUGUUCUGCAUGGGACUGCACCGCACGUCUCAUUCUCUACCUUUUUAGAAAUUCUCUCUAAGCAAAUAUCUCUGGCUUUUUCUUUUAAGAACGAUUACACAAUUGCCCAGCUGCUAGGCUUAUACAAGUAACCUGAUAAUAGCAAAGCAAUACGCUGUCCAGUGUUCAAACACCGCCACACAACAACAAAGCAGGCUGGAGUGCCCGUUCUUGUUCACAGCCUGCAAACAGAAGCAGUACAAGUCAAAGCCACCCACUUUCCCCAUUUCAGGAGAACACAGUAGCAAGACGUUUGGUCCCAAGAUGGAUUUUUUUGUCUCUUCCAAUUUGCAGGAUGUUCUGCAUGCAGGGAGAAUGUGAAGUCACGUUCUUUGGCAGAAUAACUCAACAGUGUGAUUCAAUGACGCACUCCCUUUUUUAACCAAAGUUAGUACCCCUGAUGGCCAGCAGUGGGGCUUACAGGUCUUCAAGUUACAGACAAGCCAGCAAUUCAGAGGACAAGGAUUGAGUCUUC
RNAcentral lists this long non-coding RNA (698 nucleotides) under Capra hircus (goat). Its description in RNAcentral is "lncRNA (ENSCHIG00010015083.1)". The record is from RNAcentral. Lineage: Eukaryota; Metazoa; Chordata; Mammalia; Artiodactyla; Bovidae.